Molecule: ribosomal RNA, 279 nt
Filed under: uncultured bacterium
Lineage: Bacteria
Description: partial 16S ribosomal RNA
Rfam family: Bacterial small subunit ribosomal RNA
Source: RNAcentral
UGCCAGCCGCCGCGGUAAUACGUAGGUACCGAACGUUGUCCGGAAUCACUGGGCGUAAAGGGUCCGUAGGCGGUUUGAUAAGUCUCAUAUGAAAACUUCAAGCUUAACUUGGAGAGGUUGUGAGAUACUGUCAAACUAGAGACUGUUAGAGGUAAGUGGAAUUCCAGGUGUAGUGGUGAAAUGCGUAGAUAUCUGGAGGAACACCAGUGGCGAAAGCGACUUACUGGGACAGUUCUGACGCUAAGGGACGAAAGCGUGGGGAGCGAACCGGAUUAGAUA